AUUCAAAUGGAAAAAAGGCCAAGAAAUCAAGCUUAAACUAUAAGUCAGCUCACAGAACCUGCCCUCAUGAUUCAUCAGUUAAACAAAAAAACAACUAU
Miniopterus natalensis is the source of this 98-nucleotide non-coding RNA. The record is from RefSeq and is a predicted model, not a curated record. Lineage: Eukaryota; Metazoa; Chordata; Mammalia; Chiroptera; Miniopteridae.